This 68-nucleotide transfer RNA is filed under the name Nymphicus hollandicus (cockatiel). RNAcentral describes it as "tRNA-Arg". The record is from RNAcentral. Lineage: Eukaryota; Metazoa; Chordata; Aves; Psittaciformes; Cacatuidae.
AGAAAGUUAGUCUACACAAGACAGUUGAUUUCGACUCAACAGACCAUAGCCUGCCCUAUGACUUUCUU